AUUGAACGCUGGCGGAAUGCUUUACACAUGCAAGUCGAGCGGCAGCGCGGGGUAACCUGGCGGCGAGCGGCGAACGGGUGAGUAAUACAUCGGAACGUGCCCAGACGUGGGGGAUAGCCCGGCGAAAGCCGGAUUAAUACCGCAUGAGAUCUGAGGAUGAAAGCAGGGGACCUUCGGGCCUUGCGCGUUUGGAGCGGCCGAUGGCAGAUUAGGUAGUUGGUGAGGUAAAGGCUUACCAAGCCUGCGAUCUGUAGCUGGUCUGAGAGGAUGAUCAGCCACACUGGGACUGAGACACGGCCCAGACUCCUACGGGAGGCAGCAGUGGGGAAUUUUGGACAAUGGGCGCAAGCCUGAUCCAGCCAUUCCGCGUGCAGGAUGAAGGCCCUCGGGUUGUAAACUGCUUUUGUACAGAACGAAAAAGGCCUGGCUAAUAUCUA
RNAcentral lists this ribosomal RNA (437 nucleotides) under Lautropia sp. oral taxon A94. RNAcentral's name for it is "bacterial SSU rRNA". It matches the Rfam family "Bacterial small subunit ribosomal RNA", at positions 30 to 469 of the family's 1533-position model. Lineage: Bacteria; Pseudomonadati; Pseudomonadota; Betaproteobacteria; Burkholderiales; Burkholderiaceae. The record is from RNAcentral.